UGUCUCAUAGGUUGGCUUUUAGUUGGUGAAAUCUCUGCACCUGACCCAGAGUCUCAGCAGGGCACGGGGCACAUCUUCUUCACAGCUUUGCCGUGGACUGUGGACAGGGGUGGAAGGCCACUGGGCCUUGGCCUCCCAUUUUUCGACCCAAUGUUCACUUGGCCUGCAGGAUCAAACACAUAAGACUCAGCAGUCAGCAGGUUAGAGAAGAGGGUGGAAGAGAGACGGAGAAGCUGACCAUUGGGGCAAAAGCAGAACACUUUUCUUUUCUCUUGAUCUCUACUCUUUCCCUCAUUUCCCUUCACUGAAUGUAACUUUUCCCUCUAAGAGAGUAUUUGUGCAGAUAUCCUCCCUCCUGGGUCCCCUCCAUCAUCCAUGUUAUGUAAAAUGUCACUGAGGAACAUGCUCUCCAGAAGCUCCAUGGGGAGAAGAGUCACAGGGCCGCCCUCCAGGACAGAUACGAAGGAGGUGACAUUAUUGGGUACCUUUGCCUUUCAUUUUGUGUUUUUCCAGCAGGUGCCUUUCCUGAGCUUACUUCUAGCUCUCUUGGUUGGAAAAAUACCUGAUAAAGGAAUCUCUAUAAGAUCUUCACUUUUGUGUGGGGUGCUGAGGUUUUUAGUGAGCCCUGUCUUGUCAGUACUGCAAGGCUUCAAUCAAAUAGCACUUGAACUCUUUUCAAAGACUUGCAAGAUUGAAAAGAUUCCAGCCUGUUGAACGGCGAGUAAUAGGUGUCAAACACCCUCUCCAUUUCUGAAAAUCUCUCCUCUUUCCUUGCUGGACGGGCGAAAGAGAAGAGGCAACAGAAGAUGACUUUGGACAAUUUAAGAAGGGAAAUUUAUCAGGAACUCAGCACAUCAACUGGAAAGCUGAGACUUAAGGCUGCUCUGGGUGCUGGGAGUGUUUCCAGACCAGGAACAAUCAUGUCCAGGCACCAUGGGUGAGAACUAUGGAAUUCCAACAGCUUCUUCCAUCUCAGUGUCUCUCACAUAAGAUGCAAAUCCUAGAAGACAACAGCUGAUAUUCUGGGCUUCUGGCUUUUCCAAGGAAGUGUGGGGAAAGCUGGUUAAUGUGACAUUCUCAGUGGGAUUGAGGCACUGGAUUUACUGUUCUGCCAAUACAAUAUAAUGGGAAAGAAGUAAUUCUCCAAAAGAAAAUGUGUGUCCUACAGGAAGGAGAUGGGAAUACUGAGCUGCCAAAAAUAUUAAACACACACGCACGUAAAUCUCUACUGCCAUCGUUUAUA
This is a long non-coding RNA of Leopardus geoffroyi (Geoffroy's cat), 1243 nucleotides long. RefSeq lists it as uncharacterized. The transcript is spliced from 3 exons. The record is from RefSeq and is a predicted model, not a curated record. Lineage: Eukaryota; Metazoa; Chordata; Mammalia; Carnivora; Felidae.